UUGGAAACAGACUGAUUU
This 18-nucleotide unclassified non-coding RNA is filed under the name Dictyostelium discoideum. The record is from RNAcentral. Lineage: Eukaryota; Evosea; Eumycetozoa; Dictyosteliales; Dictyosteliaceae.